UACAGAGGUCCCAAGCGUUGUUCGGAUUCAUUGGGCGUAAAGGGUGCGUAGGUGGCAUGGUAAGUCGGGUGUGAAAUCCCGGGGCUCAACCCCGGAACUGCACUCGAUACUACCGUGCUCGAGUACUGGAGAGGAGACUGGAAUUUACGGUGUAGCAGUGAAAUGCGUAGAUAUCUGGAGGAACACCGGUGGCGAAGGCGGAUCUCUGGGCCUUACCUGACGCUCAGGCGCGAAAGCUAGGGGAGCGAACAGG
This 253-nucleotide ribosomal RNA is filed under the name uncultured bacterium. Its description in RNAcentral is "partial 16S ribosomal RNA". It matches the Rfam family "Bacterial small subunit ribosomal RNA", at positions 524 to 776 of the family's 1533-position model. The record is from RNAcentral.